This 468-nucleotide ribosomal RNA is filed under the name uncultured bacterium. Its description in RNAcentral is "partial 16S ribosomal RNA". It matches the Rfam family "Bacterial small subunit ribosomal RNA", at positions 28 to 507 of the family's 1533-position model. The record is from RNAcentral.
GACGAACGCUGGCGGCGUGCUUAACACAUGCAAGUCGAACGGAAAGGCCCUGCUUUUGUGGGGUGCUCGAGUGGCGAACGGGUGAGUAACACGUGAGUAACCUGUACUUGACUUUGGGAUAACUUCAGGAAACUGGGGCUAAUACCGGAUAGGAGCUCCUGCUGCAUGGUGGGGGUUGGAAAGUUUCGGCGGUUGGGGAUGGACUCGCGGCUUAUCAGCUUGUUGGUGGGGUAGUGGCUUACCAUGGCUUUGAAGGGUAGCCGGCCUGCGAGGGGGACCGGCCACAUUGCGCCUGAGAUACGGCCCAGACUCCAACGGGAGGCAGCAGUGGGGAAUAUUGCACAAUGGGCGGAGGCCUGAUGCAACAACGCCGCGUGCGGGAUGACGUCCUUCGGUUUGUAAACUGCUGUCGCCUUUGACGAAGCGUUAGUGACGGUAAUGGGUAAAGAAGCACCGGCUAACUACGUG